Molecule: ribosomal RNA, 301 nt
Filed under: uncultured bacterium
Lineage: Bacteria
Description: partial 16S ribosomal RNA
Rfam family: Bacterial small subunit ribosomal RNA
Source: RNAcentral
CAGCAGCCGCGGUAAUACGUAGGGUGCAAGCGUUAAUCGGAAUUACUGGGCGUAAAGCGUGCGCAGGCGGUUAUAUAAGACAGAUGUGAAAUCCCCGGGCUCAACCUGGGAACUGCAUUUGUGACUGUAUAGCUAGAGUACGGCAGAGGGGGAUGGAAUUCCGCGUGUAGCAGUGAAAUGCGUAGAUAUGCGGAGGAACACCGAUGGCGAAGGCAAUCCCCUGGGCCUGUACUGACGCUCAUGCACGAAAGCGUGGGGAGCAAACAGGAUUAGAUACCCGGGUAGUCCAUGUCUCUUAUAC